This 899-nucleotide ribosomal RNA is filed under the name Ophiostoma ulmi. RNAcentral's name for it is "LSU rRNA". It matches the Rfam family "Eukaryotic large subunit ribosomal RNA", at positions 38 to 966 of the family's 3401-position model. Lineage: Eukaryota; Fungi; Ascomycota; Sordariomycetes; Ophiostomatales; Ophiostomataceae. The record is from RNAcentral.
GCAUAUCAAUAAGCGGAGGAAAAAGAAACCAACAGGGAUUGCCCCAGUAACGGCGAGUGAAGCGGCAACAGCUCAAAUUUGAAAUCUGGCCUUCGGGUCCGAGUUGUAAUUUGGAGAGGAUGCUUUUGGCGCGGCGCCGUCCGAGUUCCUUGGAACAGGACGCCAUAGAGGGUGAGAGCCCCGUACGGGCGGCCGCCUAGCCUUUGUAAAGCUCCUUCGACGAGUCGAGUAGUUUGGGAAUGCUGCUCAAAAUGGGAGGUAAAUUUCUUCUAAAGCUAAAUACCGGCCAGAGACCGAUAGCGCACAAGUAGAGUGAUCGAAAGAUGAAAAGCACUUUGAAAAGAGGGUUAAAAAGUACGUGAAAUUGUUGAAAGGGAAGCGCCUGUGACCAGACUUGCGACCCGUGGAUCAUCCGGUGUUCUUCACCGGUGCACUCCGCGGGCUGCAGGCCAGCAUCGGUUUUCCUAGGGGGAUAAAGGUCGCAGGAACGUAGCUCUUUCGGGAGUGUUAUAGCCUGUGGCGUCAUGCCUCUGGGGAGACCGAGGACCGCGCUUCGGCAAGGAUGCUGGCGUAAUGGUCACCGGCGACCCGUCUUGAAACACGGACCAAGGAGUCAAGCAUUGGGGCGAGUGUCUGGGUGCCAAACCCGCACGCGAAAUGAAAGUAAACGCAGGUGAGAGCUUCGGCGCAUCACCGACCGAUCCUGAUGUCUUCGGAUGGAUUUGAGUAAGAGCCUUACCGCUUGGACCCGAAAGAUGGUGAACUAUGCCUGUAUAGGGUGAAGCCAGAGGAAACUCUGGUGGAGGCUCGCAGCGGUUCUGACGUGCAAAUCGAUCGUCAAAUAUGGGCAUGGGGGCGAAAGACUAAUCGAACCAUCUAGUAGCUGGUUACCGCCGAAG